This is a long non-coding RNA of Perca flavescens (yellow perch), 522 nucleotides long. RefSeq lists it as uncharacterized. NCBI's taxonomy places the organism in Eukaryota, Metazoa, Chordata, Actinopteri, Perciformes, Percidae. The record is from RefSeq and is a predicted model, not a curated record. The transcript has 4 exons.
GAGGCUGUUUAACCCUGUAUUAUGUAUAUUCAACCCAUAUUGGGUUACUUUCAGUAACCCAGUAGUUGGGUUAAUGGUUUUGGACUGUGCCUUGAUCUGAAUAACCCAACCAAUGAUCAUUUUAACCCAGUGGUUUGGUUACAUUCAAGUUUGGGAUCCUCCUCCAACGGUCUUUUUCUUUUCCUCCGAGGCGUGAGAACACUUUUGGAAACGGUGAAGCGAUUGAAUAUGGAGGACUUUGUUAAACCAAAGUUAGAAGAACGGCAACUUCUGGAGCUGAUUGACACUUUUGCAGAUUGCGCAGGACUUUGAGAUCCUUCAUAAAGAGGCAUCAGACUAAAUGUUUGACCUGGAGGAGGUUCAGCGAGAAGCUUCUUCAUGCGGCCCAGCAGGGGGGAGCUCCACGUGCAGACAGAGUAUUUGUCUCAAGGCUCCAAAGACUACAUUGCCCCGAUGGUUCUGCCAAGCCUGAUUCCACCUGCAGUCUUCAGGAUGGGCCGAAAGACCGUGAGGACUACAGUG